GGAGGCGAAUGUGUCCUGGUGGGCGCCCUGGACUUCAAAUCCAGUGGGAGGCGGUACAGGCCGUCUUCGGUGGGUUCGAUCCCUACACGCCUCCGCCA
Molecule: transfer RNA, 98 nt
Filed under: Aminivibrio sp.
Lineage: Bacteria; Thermotogati; Synergistota; Synergistia; Synergistales; Aminobacteriaceae
Also listed under: 1 other name
Description: tRNA-Sec
Rfam family: Selenocysteine transfer RNA
Source: RNAcentral